RNAcentral lists this ribosomal RNA (253 nucleotides) under uncultured bacterium. RNAcentral describes it as "partial 16S ribosomal RNA". It matches the Rfam family "Bacterial small subunit ribosomal RNA", at positions 524 to 776 of the family's 1533-position model. The record is from RNAcentral.
UACGGAGGGUGCAAGCGUUAUCCGGAUUCACUGGGUUUAAAGGGUGCGUAGGUGGGUUGAUAAGUCAGUGGUGAAAUCCCCGAGCUUAACUUGGGAACUGCCAUUGAUACUAUUGAUCUUGAAUACCGUGGAGGUCAGCGGAAUAUGUCAUGUAGCGGUGAAAUGCUUAGAGAUGUGGAGGAACACCGAUGGCGAAGGCAGCCUCCUGGGCCAGCACUGACGCUCAUGCACGAAAGCGUGGGGAGCAAACAGG